This is a non-coding RNA of Bos taurus (domestic cattle), 73 nucleotides long. Lineage: Eukaryota; Metazoa; Chordata; Mammalia; Artiodactyla; Bovidae. The record is from Rfam.
UUCCUUGUAGCUCAGCUAGUAAAGAAUCUGCCUGCAAUGCAGGAGACCCUGGUUCAAUUUCCGGGUCAGGAAG